CCCUGGGUAGUGCAAAAGGUUAACACACUCAGCUGCUAACUGAAAAGUUGGACAUUCGAGUCCACCUAGGGG
RNAcentral lists this transfer RNA (72 nucleotides) under Loxodonta africana (African savanna elephant). It matches the Rfam family "tRNA". From Rfam's summary of the family: Transfer RNA (tRNA) molecules are approximately 80 nucleotides in length. Lineage: Eukaryota; Metazoa; Chordata; Mammalia; Proboscidea; Elephantidae. The record is from Rfam by way of RNAcentral.